GGGCCUGUAGCUCAGCCGGUUAGAGCGUUCCUCUGAUAAGGGAGAGGCCGUUGGUUCGAGUCCAACCAGGCCCACC
Molecule: transfer RNA, 76 nt
Filed under: Chloroflexota bacterium
Lineage: Bacteria; Bacillati; Chloroflexota
Description: tRNA-Ile
Rfam family: tRNA
About the family: Transfer RNA (tRNA) molecules are approximately 80 nucleotides in length. Their secondary structure includes four short double-helical elements and three loops (D, anti-codon, and T loops).
Source: RNAcentral